RNAcentral lists this ribosomal RNA (745 nucleotides) under Metabacillus idriensis. Its description in RNAcentral is "bacterial SSU rRNA". It matches the Rfam family "Bacterial small subunit ribosomal RNA", at positions 42 to 784 of the family's 1533-position model. Lineage: Bacteria; Bacillati; Bacillota; Bacilli; Caryophanales; Bacillaceae. The record is from RNAcentral.
GCGGGUGCUAUAAUGCAGUCGAGCGGACCUCUUCGGAGGUUAGCGGCGGACGGGUGAGUAACACGUGGGCAACCUGCCUGUAAGACUGGGAUAACUCCGGGAAACCGGAGCUAAUACCGGAUAGUAUCUUGAACCGCAUGGUUCAAGUUGGAAAGACGGUUUCGGCUGUCACUUACAGAUGGGCCCGCGGCGCAUUAGCUAGUUGGUGAGGUAAUGGCUCACCAAGGCAACGAUGCGUAGCCGACCUGAGAGGGUGAUCGGCCACACUGGGACUGAGACACGGCCCAGACUCCUACGGGAGGCAGCAGUAGGGAAUCUUCCGCAAUGGACGAAAGUCUGACGGAGCAACGCCGCGUGAGUGAUGAAGGUUUUCGGAUCGUAAAACUCUGUUGUUAGGGAAGAACAAGUGCGAGAGUAACUGCUCGCACCUUGACGGUACCUAACCAGAAAGCCACGGCUAACUACGUGCCAGCAGCCGCGGUAAUACGUAGGUGGCAAGCGUUGUCCGGAAUUAUUGGGCGUAAAGCGCGCGCAGGCGGUUUCUUAAGUCUGAUGUGAAAGCCCCCGGCUCAACCGGGGAGGGUCAUUGGAAACUGGGAAACUUGAGUGCAGAAGAGGAGAGUGGAAUUCCACGUGUAGCGGUGAAAUGCGUAGAGAUGUGGAGGAACACCAGUGGCGAAGGCGACUCUCUGGUCUGUAACUGACGCUGAGGCGCGAAAGCGUGGGGAGCGAACAGGAUUAGAUA